This 460-nucleotide ribosomal RNA is filed under the name uncultured bacterium. RNAcentral describes it as "partial 16S ribosomal RNA". It matches the Rfam family "Bacterial small subunit ribosomal RNA", at positions 338 to 795 of the family's 1533-position model. The record is from RNAcentral.
CCUACGGGUGGCAGCAGUGAGGAAUAUUGGUCAAUGGACGAGAGUCUGAACCAGCCAAGUAGCGUGAAGGAUGACUGCCCUAUGGGUUGUAAACUUCUUUUAUAUGGGAAUAAAAUGUUCCACGUGUGGGAUUUUGUAUGUACCAUAUGAAUAAGGAUCGGCUAACUCCGUGCCAGCAGCCGCGGUAAUACGGAGGAUCCGAGCGUUAUCCGGAUUUAUUGGGUUUAAAGGGAGCGUAGGUGGAUUGUUAAGUCAGUUGUGAAAGUUUGCGGCUCAACCGUAAAAUUGCAGUUGAUACUGGCAGUCUUGAGUACAGUAGAGGUGGGCGGAAUUCGUGGUGGAGCGGUGAAAUGCUUAGAUAUCACGAAGAACUCCGAUUGCGAAGGCAGUUCACUGGACUGCAACUGACACUGAGGCUCGAAAGUGUGGGUAUCAAACAGGAUUAGAUACCCUUGUAGUC